CACGUCUUCCGUCUCGGAAUCUCUCCUCCGUUAUUUCGUUGUGUGCUGAUCCAAGUCAAACGGUCCCGUCCCGUCUUCCUCCCGUCCCGCGAGCUCUCGACUCUCUCCCUCUUCCCGGGGGGCCGCAGCCAUGGUGGAGAGGCGGCCGCGGAGGAAGCCGCUGGUGCUCGCGUCGACGCAGGCGCUCCUCGACUCGCUCCCGGGGGAGCNNN
Molecule: long non-coding RNA, 212 nt
Filed under: Hordeum vulgare
Lineage: Eukaryota; Viridiplantae; Streptophyta; Magnoliopsida; Poales; Poaceae
Description: long non-coding RNA (HVUL_LNC005598)
Source: RNAcentral